Molecule: long non-coding RNA, 1981 nt
Filed under: Drosophila guanche
Lineage: Eukaryota; Metazoa; Arthropoda; Insecta; Diptera; Drosophilidae
Source: RNAcentral
AAAUUAUUUAAAAUAUACGGUAUUUACGGUAUAUUUUUAACAUAAGUUGGAUUUCGGUAUAUUUUUGAGGAUCGUGCGGUAUAAAUUAUCAGCGGUCACUCUGAGCGGCAGUUCGGCGCGUUUUUCUGUUAAAUUUUCGUUUCGCGUUCAAUUGUGCUUAAAUUUCGUGUUUUGUGAAUUUAAACAAGUGGAAAUGUCUCUACCAAUGUCGUUUGAGAGGGAGGUAUUAGAGUACCAGACUGUUUGGGAGUUCUUGAAGAAAAUAAAAAUGGAAUCCGUGUUUGAGGACUUGAAAGGUAAGCGACAAGACAACCCAUUUUUGCACACAUUUGUACAUGCGCUUAUAAUGUUAGCCUAUCUCUCCAUCUCUACGCAUUAUAUCCAUACACAUAAUUGUAUCCACAAUUGAUCAUGUCCAAUCCGCAACCCUAAAAACGCGGGCUUUACAGUUAAAGUGCUCACAACAAUGCACACAUGCAUGCAUUUUUAGAUGUAUGCACGUUUUAUUUUGCUUGCGGAUCUACUCAUUUUGUAACUGUUCUUUUCUGUUUUGUCUUUCUUGUAAUACUCGUUAAGAUAGAUCAAUAUUUACGUAUGUAUGUAGGUACAUAAAUAUAUGUACAUAUGUAAUUUCGGCAUGUCGAAUUUAAAGUACGCAUUGAUUAAAGAAUGUAUAAAUGUUUCUAUGCAUCUAGUAUGUGUGUUUUGGAUGAAAGUCGAAAUUAUAUGAGCACAUUUCAAGUCAACGUUUGCUAAACAUUUUAUAACAGCGCGUUCGCUUUUACUUGUAUGCAUGCAUGUUUUGUGUGUGUAUGCAGAUGCGUAGCCCGCUUAUACCCAUGGGUUAGAAGAGCUCGAAUGCAUGUUGAUUUCGAGUGGGGAGGAGAUUCAUAAUUGAUGUACGAAGUGUACAUGUUUAUGUACAUCAACAUAUUCACAAAUGUAUGUAAUUACUUCUUCGCUCUUAUGAUCUUUGUUUUACGUCCUGUAGUCGAACUUUCAAGUAUUUGUUGAAGUUAAUUUCAAUUCUUAUAUCUAUCUGUGACUCUCUUUCAGCGUAAAUUUGAUUGAAAAUUAGUAGAAAAAACUGUAAAUUCAAACCCUGUAAAAGUAGCUAGAACCAAAAAAAAAAGUUCAAUUCCAAAUAUACCCAAUUUACAGCUGCUGAAGCAACAUACGACUGCUUGAAGUUUAUGAUCCCUGAGGAUGUCAGAGACACCAUUCGUAAAGUAGGCCCUCGUGCCAAAUUCCGUGAAAGAAUUUUGAGGAUGCAACGGACAGAGGUAAAUAAAUGUAGGUACACAUAUACAGAGACCUAUGUACACAUAAACAAACAUCUGAGACUCACAUGUACAAUACAUUCCAUUUUUUUGAUUACAGUUUGGAAGCAUUAAGCAUACACGGACUUUAGAGUACAAAACAAAGUAAUUAAAUUAUUUGUACACACACUUUGACUUUUGACUCACACUUUUGCAUUGUUUAGAAUUUGGACCAACUUAUUAAUCGCUCUCCUGAGGGACUGACUGACUGUGUUUCAGUCUUUCAAAACUAAACUCUCGUUAGCACAAACAUUAAGCACUUUACUUGACGAAAUAGUAACUGUAUUUCCAACUGAAGAAUCCAGGAAGGUAAUUCCGUUUGUGCAAUUUGGGCAUUGAUUUAUUUUCUUACAAAAUUUGCGUUCUCUUCCUUUUUUUUUUUUAGAUUUUUUGGCCCGGAUGGAGCUCCAAAGCAUUUGCAUAACGAUACAGUUCGUUAUUCCUAAAUAAUUUAUCACAACAAUUAAAAAAUAUACAUACGUAAAAUAACAUUUAAUCUCGUAAAUGAUUUGAGAAUAUCGUUUCAAAAGAAAUUUGAAUUUGAUUCAUGCUUUAUGUGGGGAAAUUUUUAUCUCUGUAAAGAGCGAGCCUAGUAAAGCGAGUAAAGUUUGAUUUGAUGUUUAUUAAACUAAUGUUGCAUUAUACAUAUCUUGCACUUUUAA